GUCUAUGGCCAUGCUACCCUGAACAAGCCUGAUCCCCUCUGAUCUUGGGAGCUAAGCAGGGUAGAGACUGGUUAGUACUUGGAUGGGAGACCACCUAGGAAGACUGGGUGCUGUAGGCG
Molecule: ribosomal RNA, 119 nt
Filed under: Pteropus alecto (black flying fox)
Lineage: Eukaryota; Metazoa; Chordata; Mammalia; Chiroptera; Pteropodidae
Source: RNAcentral